CCGACCUUAGCUCAGCUGGAAGAGCAUCAGACUGUAAUUGGUUAAGAAUUUUCGGUAUCUGGGUGUCGCCUGUUCGAACCAGGCAGGUCGGA
Molecule: non-coding RNA, 92 nt
Organism: Guyanagaster necrorhizus
Lineage: Eukaryota; Fungi; Basidiomycota; Agaricomycetes; Agaricales; Physalacriaceae
Source: the annotation of a RefSeq genome assembly